UACGUAGGCAGCGAGCGUUGUUCGGAGUUACUGGGCGUAAAGAGUGCGUAGGCGGUUUCGUAAGUCUGGUGUGAAAUCUCCCGGCUCAACUGGGAGGGUGCGCCGGAAACUGCGGAGCUGGAGUGUGGGAGAGGCAAGCGGAAUUCCUGGUGUAGCGGUGAAAUGCGUAGAUAUCAGGAGGAACACCUGCGGUGUAGACGGCUUGCUGGACCACUACUGACGCUGAGGCACGAAAGCGUGGGGAGCAAACAGGAUUAGAUACCCGGGUAGU
RNAcentral lists this ribosomal RNA (271 nucleotides) under uncultured bacterium. Its description in RNAcentral is "partial 16S ribosomal RNA". It matches the Rfam family "Bacterial small subunit ribosomal RNA", at positions 524 to 794 of the family's 1533-position model. The record is from RNAcentral.